Long non-coding RNA from Magnolia sinica, 2496 nucleotides. RefSeq lists it as uncharacterized. The transcript is spliced from 4 exons. The record is from RefSeq and is a predicted model, not a curated record. NCBI's taxonomy places the organism in Eukaryota, Viridiplantae, Streptophyta, Magnoliopsida, Magnoliales, Magnoliaceae.
AAGGGGAACUUAUAAUAAGAUCAAGUCCAAGAAGAUUGGUCCAUGCCGACUCAAGAGGAAGUUGGGUAACAAUGCAUAUAAAAUUGAGUUGCUAGAAGACUAAGAUAUCUUAUCGACUUCCACUGUGGUGGAUUCAUUCGAGUACCAAGGCGAGGCAUCUAAUGCGUAAGAUGAAGCCAUUACUGAUAUGGAUAAACAACUCGGGAAGAAAAAGAAGGAAAAAGUUGAACAAAUAUUGCGAAUGAAGACUGCUAACACUCGACGGGGCCAAUACAGGCAAUAUUUGGUGAAAUGGAAGAACAAACCCUAUUAUGAAUGCACAUGAAUCAUGAGCGAUGAAUUGAAAAGAUUAUUUCUGAUUGUCUACUACUUGUAUGAAGUGUCCAACUCGUUGGAGUCGGUUUCUUUCCAGACCAAGGGGAAUGAUAUAAGACCAUUGUAUGGCCCAACAAGAUGUAAGCCCAUAGCACACCAUAGGCCUAACAUUUGCUGAUUUUUCGGACUUUAUUUACAGAAUUGGGGGCCUAAAUCAAGGAUUGUAAUUCAUUACUUUUGGGAGAUAUGGAGGGCUUAUUAAAGAUGUGAUUGAUAUAAUUGAAGAUAUGGGUUGAUUUAGAGAUAUAAUUACUUUCUAUGUUUGCUCUUUAUUAUUAGGUUUUUACCAUAUUAAGGAAGAUUAGAUUGGUUUCAAAUAAAUUGUGAUUGUUUGAAAUCAAUCUCUUAAUUGGGGGGAUUUUAAUUAAUGGUUCAUUUAUGAUCUAUAAAAGGGGGUGGUGGUAUAGGAAGUAGUCAUUUGAAUAUUUUUCUUUGUGUGGGUUUUCUUAAAGUUUUUUGAAGUGAAGGUUGAUAUCAAUUAAGUUCUCUCCUUCUCUUCUCAAUAGCCGGGUUGCUCCAUCCUUCCAAGGUAAUUUUCUUUUUUAAAGAUGUGAUGGGUCUACACUUGGGGGAUCCUCUCUCUUCAUUAAUUCCUCUUUGUAGUGGUUUCCCAGGUCGGAUGAUUGUAAAAGUGAAUGUGGUUUACUUAAAUGGUUGAGAAUGGAGAAAGCAAAUCCUCAAAUCUCUGAUCUUUGUUAUUGAGAAGAAACAAAUCUUUGGGGUGCAAAUACUCGAAGGAUAAUACACGAAAGGUGAUUUGAUGUUUUGUAGCAGUUUUAGGUUUAGAGAUCAUGGCUUUUAUUGAAAUCAUAAUAUCUUGGCAUAUUAAUCAAACUCAUUAUCGCUAUGUAAGUGUGAGAGAAUACAAUUUGAAAAUAGUGCAAUCAUGCAAGUGCUAUUUGAGAUAGAAGUAAUGUGGGCUUGAUCAAUUAUCUAUACCCGUUGGAGUUUUUCAUCCCCUGCAUGCUUUUGCCAAUCUUUCAUUAGGUAUUGACACAAACCAGCACAUAAGCUACACGUGCACAUGCUCACACACGCACAUAUUGGUGAGAAAGGAGUACCAUGGAAUCUAUCUCCUGCGGUCUACCAUACUAUUGUGAACUAUGUAAAUCAGUGUACCCUAGACUACCAUACUAAAAGGUAAUUAUUUCAUUUUAUGUAAUAGCUGUAAGAUUCCUACAAUAGAUGUGUUUUGUUCUCUAAGAAGGGGAACACCUCCCUCUCUUAAUGCAAUGAAGUUAUUCUCUUCUAAAUUCCCAUUAUGCUCUUCGGAGUCUUAUUGUCUCAAUCCAAAUGUCCCAUUCUUUUCUUGUUACACACACAAACACCAUUGUUCUUUCAUUAGUUAAUGUCUUAAUGACCCACCCAGCUACACACUCACUGUUGCUUCAUUAAUUAAUGACACAGGCAUGAACACAUGCACAUUUGCAUGAAAUUUACGAGAAUUAUAACUUGUUAUUUAGUUCCACAUUCAUUGGUAACUAAUAUAUCUCGUGCAGGAUUUUCGUGGGCAUAUUUUUGAGAAUGAAUGUUUUGCAACCAGCGAAGAUAGGGUCGCUCCAUGGCAUUCUACACCAUGCUGAUUAUGUUGCAGCUUUUGAGAGGGAGGGAGGGAGGGGGAAAAGGGGAUUGGAGAAAAGAUAGGGUUAGAGAGCUCAUCUCCAUCGAGCUUCUUAUCUACAAGUUCCAAUAUAAAGUUGAUGGUUCAAGUUUCAUGAUAUUGACUGUGCUGUCUACCCAUAGGUCGUAAGAGGAGCGUCAUUGAUUCUUAAUUGGCUGCAAGGUGAAACUGAGGUGAUUCCCUGUAGACUUGGAUCUUGAUUGGUCCAUCAGCUUUGGCGUACCCUUUAUUUUGAUUAGCAUACUUUGCAUUCCGGGCAUACAACAUUGAGAGUAGAUUUGAUAGUUUCAGUCGACUCCAAAUUGCCAUUAGUUGUGGCUAUAAAGGUAUUAGGUUUUUGGUGAUGUCACAUAUUGGAGUUUAUGGUUGGUUGGACUGGGGAAUCUCGUACUUAUUGUAAAUAUUAUAUCUUUACUGGGAUUCUAAAUAUUUGUUGUUUGGAUUUCAUAAAAAAGGGUAUCUUGUCUAUAUAGGUGGAUGAAUUUGUGCAUGGAACUUUU